This 254-nucleotide ribosomal RNA is filed under the name uncultured bacterium. RNAcentral's name for it is "partial 16S ribosomal RNA". It matches the Rfam family "Bacterial small subunit ribosomal RNA", at positions 524 to 776 of the family's 1533-position model. The record is from RNAcentral.
UACGUAGGGGGCUAGCGUUGUCCGGAUUUAUUGGGCGUAAAGAGCUCGUAGGUGGUUCGGUAAGUCGGAUGUGAAAUCUCCAGGCUCAACCUGGAGGGGUCAUUCGAUACUGCCGUGACUAGAGUUCGGUAGAGGAGUGUGGAAUUCCUGGUGGAGCGGUGAAAUGCGCAGAUAUCAGGAAGAACACCCGUGGCGAAGGCGGCUCUCUGGGACGGUACUGACGCUGAGACGCGAAAGCGUGGGGAGCGAACAGG